GAAUGUGGAAGAGGAAAUGAUGGUGACAAUAUCAAUGGUAAACCAUACAAGAAAAUAAAAACAAAAACUCGCAGUGCUAAACGAACGCUAUCAUAACAUCAUCAGAUGAUGAAACACAUAUCAAAGGGAAUUCAAAAAAUAAUAGUACCAGCAAUGAACUUUAGAUAUUAUCCUCUGACGACGAGUCAUUUCUCAUAUACAAAUUAAAGACUCAAAAAUC
Molecule: long non-coding RNA, 220 nt
Filed under: Lathyrus oleraceus (garden pea)
Lineage: Eukaryota; Viridiplantae; Streptophyta; Magnoliopsida; Fabales; Fabaceae
Description: Pisum sativum (pea) long non-coding RNA (PSAT_LNC015761)
Source: RNAcentral